This 343-nucleotide ribosomal RNA is filed under the name Acidobacteria bacterium enrichment culture clone C23_08_A15. RNAcentral describes it as "bacterial SSU rRNA". It matches the Rfam family "Bacterial small subunit ribosomal RNA", at positions 15 to 354 of the family's 1533-position model. Lineage: Bacteria; Pseudomonadati; Acidobacteriota. The record is from RNAcentral.
GAUCCUGGCUCAGAAUCAACGCUGGCGGCGUGCCUCAGACAUGCAAGUCGAACGAUUAAAGCUCUCUUCGGAGAGUGUAUAGAGUGGCGCACGGGUGAGUAACACGUAAGUAAUCUACCCUCGAGUGGGGAAUAACGUCCGGAAACGGACGCUAAUACCGCAUAAUGCAGCGGCACCGCAAGGUGACAGUUGUUAAAGAUUUAUCGCUUGAGGAGGAGCUUGCGGCAGAUUAGCUAGUUGGUAAGGUAAUGGCUUACCAAGGCUACGAUCUGUAACCGGUCUAAGAGGACGGUCGGUCACACUGACACUGAAUAACGGGUCAGACUCCUACGGGAGGCAGCAG